ACGGAAGGCAGCAGUGAGGAAUAUUGGUCAAUGGGCGGAAGCCUGAACCAGCCAAGUCGCGUGAAGGAUGAAGGUAUUAUGUAUUGUAAACUUCUUUAGACGCAGAGAAAUAAGCGGGACGUGUCCCGCGAUGCUAGUAUGCGUAGAAUAAGGAUCGGCUAACCCCGUGCCAGCAGCCGCGGUAAUACGGAGGAUCCGAGCGUUAUCCGGAUUUAUUGGGUUUAAAGGGUGCGCAGGCGGCCCUGUAAGUCAGCGGUUAAAUCGUGAGGCUCAACCUCAUCGCGCCGUUGAUACUGCAGGGCUUGAUUGCGGUCGAGGUUGGCGGAAUUCGUCGUGUAGCGGUGAAAUGCAUAGAUAUGACGAAGAACACCGAUUGCGUAGGCAGCUGACCAGACCGUAAAUGACGCUCAUGCACGAAAGUGCGGGGAUCGAACAGGAUUAGAUACCCUGGUA
This 453-nucleotide ribosomal RNA is filed under the name uncultured Porphyromonadaceae bacterium. Its description in RNAcentral is "partial 16S ribosomal RNA". It matches the Rfam family "Bacterial small subunit ribosomal RNA", at positions 341 to 792 of the family's 1533-position model. The record is from RNAcentral. Lineage: Bacteria; Pseudomonadati; Bacteroidota; Bacteroidia; Bacteroidales; Porphyromonadaceae.